CACAGGGCUCCCAAUGGGAGGAGC
RNAcentral lists this unclassified non-coding RNA (24 nucleotides) under Mus musculus (house mouse). RNAcentral's name for it is "oocyte_clustered_small_RNA12525". The record is from RNAcentral. Lineage: Eukaryota; Metazoa; Chordata; Mammalia; Rodentia; Muridae.